AUUGAACGCUGGCGGCAGGCCUAACACAUGCAAGUCGAACGGUAACAGGAAGAAGCUUGCUUCUUUGCUGACGAGUGGCGGACGGGUGAGUCAUGUCUGGGAAACUGCCUGAUGGAGGGGGAUAACUACUGGAAACGGUAGCUAAUACCGCAUAACGUCGCAAGACCAAAGAGGGGGACCUUCGGGCCUCUUGCCAUCGGAUGUGCCCAGAUGGGAUUAGCUGGUAGGUGGGGUAACGGCUCACCUAGGCGACGAUCCCUAGCUGGUCUGAGAGGAUGACCAGCCACACGGGAACUGAGACACGGUCCAGACUCCUACGGGAGGGAGCAGUGGGGAAUAUUGCACAAUGGGCGCAAGCCUGAUGCGGCCAUGCCGCGUGUAUGAAGAAGGCCUUCGGGUUGUAAAGUACUUUCAGCGGGGAGGAAGGGAGUAAAGUUAAUACCUUGGCUCAUUGACGUUACCCGCAGAAGAAGCACCGGCUAACUCCGUG
RNAcentral lists this ribosomal RNA (490 nucleotides) under uncultured bacterium. RNAcentral describes it as "partial 16S ribosomal RNA". It matches the Rfam family "Bacterial small subunit ribosomal RNA", at positions 30 to 507 of the family's 1533-position model. The record is from RNAcentral.